AUUGAACGCUGGCGGCAUGCCUUACACAUGCAAGUCGAACGGUAACAGGUCUUCGGAUGCUGACGAGUGGCGAACGGGUGAGUAAUACAUCGGAACGUGCCUAGUAGUGGGGGAUAACUACUCGAAAGAGUGGCUAAUACCGCAUGAGAUCUACGGAUGAAAGCAGGGGAUCGCAAGACCUUGUGCUACUAGAGCGGCCGAUGGCAGAUUAGGUAGUUGGUGGGAUAAAAGCUUACCAAGCCGACGAUCUGUAGCUGGUCUGAGAGGACGAUCAGCCACAAUGGGACGGAGACACGGCCAAGACUCCGACGGGAGGCAGCAGUGGGGAAUUUUGGCAAAUGGGCGCGAGCCUGAUCCAGCAAUGCCGCGUGCAGGAUGAAGGCCUUCGGGUUGUAAACUGCUUUUGUACGGAACGAAAAGCCCCGGGUUAAUACCCUGGGGUCAUGACGGUACCGUAAGAAUAAGCACCGGCUAACUACGUGCCAGCCGCCGCCGUAA
This 498-nucleotide ribosomal RNA is filed under the name uncultured bacterium. Its description in RNAcentral is "partial 16S ribosomal RNA". It matches the Rfam family "Bacterial small subunit ribosomal RNA", at positions 30 to 523 of the family's 1533-position model. The record is from RNAcentral.